RNAcentral lists this ribosomal RNA (1346 nucleotides) under uncultured bacterium. RNAcentral's name for it is "bacterial SSU rRNA". It matches the Rfam family "Bacterial small subunit ribosomal RNA", at positions 28 to 1381 of the family's 1533-position model. The record is from RNAcentral.
GACGAACGCUGGCGGCGUGCUUAACACAUGCAAGUCGAACGGAAAGGCCCUGCUUUUGUGGGGUGCUCGAGUGGCGAACGGGUGAGUAACACGUGAGUAACCUGCCCUUGACUUUGGGAUAACUUCAGGAAACUGGGGCUAAUACCGGAUAGGAGCUCCUGCUGCAUGGUGGGGGUUGGAAAGUUUCGGCGGUUGGGGAUGGACUCGCGGCUUAUCAGCUUGUUGGUGGGGUAGUGGCUUACCAAGGCUUUGACGGGUAGCCGGCCUGAGAGGGUGACCGGCCACAUUGGGACUGAGAUACGGCCCAGACUCCUACGGGAGGCAGCAGUGGGGAAUAUUGCACAAUGGGCGGAAGCCUGAUGCAGCAACGCCGCGUGCGGGAUGACGGCCCUCGGGUUGUAAACCGCUUUCGCCUGUGACGAAGCGUGAGUGACGGUAAUGGGUAAAGAAGCACCGGCUAACUACGUGCCAGCAGCCGCGGUGAUACGUAGGGUGCGAGCGUUGUCCGGAUUUAUUGGGCGUAAAGGGCUCGUAGGUGGUUGAUCGCGUCGGAAGUGUAAUCUUGGGGCUUAACCCUGAGCGUGCUUUCGAUACGGGUUGACUUGAGGAAGGUAGGGGAGAAUGGAAUUCCUGGUGGAGCGGUGGAAUGCGCAGAUAUCAGGAGGAACACCAGUGGCGAAGGCGGUUCUCUGGGCCUUUCCUGACGCUGAGGAGCGAAAGCGUGGGGAGCGAACAGGCUUAGAUACCCUGGUAGUCCACGCUGUAAACGGUGGGUACUAGGUGUGGGGUCCAUUCCACGGGUUCCGUGCCGUAGCUAACGCUUUAAGUACCCCGCCUGGGGAGUACGGCCGCAAGGCUAAAACUCAAAGGAAUCGACGGGGCCCCGCACAAGCGGCGGAGCAUGCGGAUUAAUUCGAUGCAACGCGUAGAACCUUACCUGGGUUUGACAUGGAUCGGGAGCGCUCAGAGAUGGGUGUGCCUCUUUUGGGGUCGGUUCACAGGUGGUGCAUGGCUGUCGUCAGCUCGUGUCGUGAGAUGUUGGGUUAAGUCCCGCAACGAGCGCAACCCUUGUUCACUGUUGCCAGCACGUUAUGGUGGGGACUCAGUGGAGACCGCCGGGGUCAACUCGGAGGAAGGUGGGGAUGACGUCAAGUCAUCAUGCCCCUUAUGUCCAGGGCUUCACGCAUGCUACAAUGGCUGGUACAGAGAGUGGCGAGCCUGUGAGGGUGAGCGAAUCUCGGAAAGCCGGUCUCAGUUCGGAUUGGGGUCUGCAACUCGACCUCAUGAAGUCGGAGUCGCUAGUAAUCGCAGAUCAGCAACGCUGCGGUGAAUACGUUCCCGGGGCU